AAAAUUUUAAGUUAAAUAAACUAUAAAUUUUCAAAAUUUAAAAUAUAAAAUUUUAUUUAUAAAUUUUA
RNAcentral lists this transfer RNA (68 nucleotides) under Habrobracon hebetor. RNAcentral describes it as "tRNA-Trp". The record is from RNAcentral. Lineage: Eukaryota; Metazoa; Arthropoda; Insecta; Hymenoptera; Braconidae.